AACCCCAUUCCUUACUCAUCAGAUCUAAACACUGGUAAGAGUGGUUAUAAAAGGAGAAAAAGGAAAAUGGAUACUGAUUUAAAUUCUCUUUUUUUUUUUUACUUAAAUUCUUUUGUGACACACAAGCUAGUUUCAAACAACA
This 142-nucleotide small nucleolar RNA is filed under the name Echinops telfairi (small Madagascar hedgehog). RNAcentral's name for it is "Small nucleolar RNA SNORA61 (ENSETEG00000025403.1)". Lineage: Eukaryota; Metazoa; Chordata; Mammalia; Afrosoricida; Tenrecidae. The record is from RNAcentral.